This 40-nucleotide ribosomal RNA is filed under the name Corynespora cassiicola. RNAcentral describes it as "partial 18S ribosomal RNA". The record is from RNAcentral. Lineage: Eukaryota; Fungi; Ascomycota; Dothideomycetes; Pleosporales; Corynesporascaceae.
UAAAAAGUCGUAACAAGGUUUCCGUAGGUGAACCUGCGGA